ACGCUGGCGGCAUGCUUUACACAUGCAAGUCGGACGGCAGCACAGAGAAGCUUGCUUCUUGGGUGGCGAGUGGCGAACGGGUGAGUAAUAUAUCGGAACGUACCGAGUAAUGGGGGAUAACUAAUCGAAAGAUUAGCUAAUACCGCAUAUUCUCUGAGGAGGAAAGCAGGGGACCUUCGGGCCUUGCGUUAUUCGAGCGGCCGAUAUCUGAUUAGCUAGUUGGUGGGGUAAAGGCCUACCAAGGCGACGAUCAGUAGCGGGUCUGAGAGGAUGAUCCGCCACACUGGGACUGAGACACGGCCCAGACUCCUACGGGAGGCAGCAGUGGGGAAUUUUGGACAAUGGGCGCAAGCCUGAUCCAGCCAUGCCGCGUGUCUGAAGAAGGCCUUCGGGUUGUAAAGGACUUUUGUCAGGGAAGAAAAGGCUGUUGCUAAUACCGACAGCUGAUGACGGUACCUGAAGAAUAAGCACCGGCUAACUACGUGCCAGCAGCCGCGGUAAUACGUAGGGUGCGAGCGUUAAUCGGAAUUACUGGGCGUAAAGCGAGCGCAGACGGUUACUUAAGCAGGAUGUGAAAUCCCCGGGCUCAACCUGGGAACUGCGUUCUGAACUGGGUGACUAGAGUGUGUCAGAGGGAGGUAGAAUUCCACGUGUAGCAGUGAAGUGCGUAGAGAUGUGGAGGAAUACCGAUGGCGAAGGCAGCCUCCUGGGAUAACACUGACGUUCAUGCUCGAAAGCGUGGGUAGCAAACAGGAUUAGAUACCCUGGUAGUCCACGCCCUAAACGAUGUCAAUUAGCUGUUGGGCAACUUGAUUGCUUAGUAGCGUAGCUAACGCGUGAAAUUGACCGCCUGGGGAGUACGGUCGCAAGAUUAAAACUCAAAGGAAUUGACGGGGACCCGCACAAGCGG
RNAcentral lists this ribosomal RNA (910 nucleotides) under uncultured bacterium. RNAcentral describes it as "bacterial SSU rRNA". It matches the Rfam family "Bacterial small subunit ribosomal RNA", at positions 33 to 932 of the family's 1533-position model. The record is from RNAcentral.